UAGCAGCGAAGCCGCAAGGCGGAGCAAAUCACAAAACCCGGUCCCAGUUCAGAUUGCAGGCUGCAACUCGCCUGCAUGAAGGCGGAAUUGCUAGUAAUCGCGAAUCAGAAUGUCGCGGUGAAUACGUUCCCGGGUCUUGUACACACCGCCCGUCACACCAUGGGAGCCGGGAAUGCCCGAAGUCGGUGACCCAACCGUAAGGAGGGAGCCGCCGAAGGCAGGCCUGGUAACUGGGGUGAAGUCGUAACAAGGUAUC
RNAcentral lists this ribosomal RNA (256 nucleotides) under uncultured bacterium. RNAcentral's name for it is "partial 16S ribosomal RNA". It matches the Rfam family "Bacterial small subunit ribosomal RNA", at positions 1244 to 1500 of the family's 1533-position model. The record is from RNAcentral.